AGGUCAAGUUCAAUAAUGGCGAUUUUGACUUUUACCGUUCAGGAGUUAUGGUUCUUGAAAGAUUGGAAAAUGGAGUUGUCCGUGCAUUUACGCAUGAACUGUUCUACCAAAGCUUCCCAAAUUUUAAUAUGUUGUUACUAAUGAAAGAAUGGAGGUCAAGUUCAAUAAUGACGAAUUUGACUUUUACCGUUCAGGAGUUAUGGUUCUUGAAAGAUUGAAAAAUGGAGUUUCCAGUCGUGUCAGUGCAUUUAUGCAUGAACUGUUCUACCAAAGCUUCCGAAAUUUUAAUAUGCUGUUACUGAUGACAAAUGGAGGUCAAGUUCAAUAAUGACGAUUUUGACUUUUACCGUUCAGGAGUUAUGGUUCUUGAAAGAUUGAAAAAUGGUUUUUCCCGUCGUGUCCGUGCAUUUUCUCAUGAACCAUUCAACCAAAGCUUUUGAAAUUUUAAUAUGUUGUUACUGAUGACAAAAUAGAGGUCAAGUUCAAUAAUGACGAUUUUGACUUUUACCGUUCAGGAGUUAUGGUUCUUGAAAGAUUGUAAAAUGGCGUUUCCAUUCAGGUUGUUGCAUUUACUCAUGAACCAUUCAAUCUAAGCUUUUCAAAUUUUAAUAUGUUGAUACUGAUGACAAAAUGGAGGUCAAAUUUGAUAUUGACGAUUUUCACUUUCACCAUUCAUCAGUAAUGGUUCUUGUGAUAUAGCCAGGAC
This 706-nucleotide long non-coding RNA is filed under the name Mytilus galloprovincialis (Mediterranean mussel). The record is from RNAcentral. Lineage: Eukaryota; Metazoa; Mollusca; Bivalvia; Mytilida; Mytilidae.